Molecule: ribosomal RNA, 2767 nt
Filed under: Escherichia coli
Lineage: Bacteria; Pseudomonadati; Pseudomonadota; Gammaproteobacteria; Enterobacterales; Enterobacteriaceae
Also listed under: 1 other name
Description: partial 23S ribosomal RNA
Rfam family: Bacterial large subunit ribosomal RNA
Source: RNAcentral
UUCGACACACUAUCAUUAACUGAAUCCAUAGGUUAAUGAGGCGAACCGGGGGAACUGAAACAUCUAAGUACCCCGAGGAAAAGAAAUCAACCGAGAUUCCCCCAGUAGCGGCGAGCGAACGGGGAGGAGCCCAGAGCCUGAAUCAGUGUGUGUGUUAGUGGAAGCGUCUGGAAAGGCGCGCGAUACAGGGUGACAGCCCCGUACACAAAAAUGCACAUAUUGUGAGCUCGAUGAGUAGGGCGGGACACGUGGUAUCCUGUCUGAAUAUGGGGGGACCAUCCUCCAAGGCUAAAUACUCCUGACUGACCGAUAGUGAACCAGUACCGUGAGGGAAAGGCGAAAAGAACCCCGGCGAGGGGAGUGAAAAAGAACCUGAAACCGUGUACGUACAAGCAGUGGGAGCCUCUUAAUGGGGUGACUGCGUACCUUUUGUAUAAUGGGUCAGCGACUUAUAUUCUGUAGCAAGGUUAACCGAAUAGGGGAGCCGAAGGGAAACCGAGUCUUAACUGGGCGUUAAGUUGCAGGGUAUAGACCCGAAACCCGGUGAUCUAGCCAUGGGCAGGUUGAAGGUUGGGUAACACUAACUGGAGGACCGAACCGACUAAUGUUGAAAAAUUAGCGGAUGACUUGUGGCUGGGGGUGAAAGGCCAAUCAAACCGGGAGAUAGCUGGUUCUCCCCGAAAGCUAUUUAGGUAGCGCCUCGUGAAUUCAUCUCCGGGGGUAGAGCACUGUUUCGGCAAGGGGGUCAUCCCGACUUACCAACCCGAUGCAAACUGCGAAUACCGGAGAAUGUUAUCACGGGAGACACACGGCGGGUGCUAACGUCCGUCGUGAAGAGGGAAACAACCCAGACCGCCAGCUAAGGUCCCAAAGUCAUGGUUAAGUGGGAAACGAUGUGGGAAGGCCCAGACAGCCAGGAUGUUGGCUUAGAAGCAGCCAUCAUUUAAAGAAAGCGUAAUAGCUCACUGGUCGAGUCGGCCUGCGCGGAAGAUGUAACGGGGCUAAACCAUGCACCGAAGCUGCGGCAGCGACACUAUGUGUUGUUGGGUAGGGGAGCGUUCUGUAAGCCUGUGAAGGUGGCCUGUGAGGGUUGCUGGAGGUAUCAGAAGUGCGAAUGCUGACAUAAGUAACGAUAAAGCGGGUGAAAAGCCCGCUCGCCGGAAGACCAAGGGUUCCUGUCCAACGUUAAUCGGGGCAGGGUGAGUCGACCCCUAAGGCGAGGCCGAAAGGCGUAGUCGAUGGGAAACAGGUUAAUAUUCCUGUACUUGGUGUUACUGCGAAGGGGGGACGGAGAAGGCUAUGUUGGCCGGGCGACGGUUGUCCCGGUUUAAGCGUGUAGGCUGGUUUUCCAGGCAAAUCCGGAAAAUCAAGGCUGAGGCGUGAUGACGAGGCACUACGGUGCUGAAGCGACAAAUGCCCUGCUUCCAGGAAAAGCCUCUAAGCAUCAGGUAACAUCAAAUCGUACCCCAAACCGACACAGGUGGUCAGGUAGAGAAUACCAAGGCGCUUGAGAGAACUCGGGUGAAGGAACUAGGCAAAAUGGUGCCGUAACUUCGGGAGAAGGCACGCUGAUAUGUAGGUGAAGCGACUUGCUCGUGGAGCUGAAAUCAGUCGAAGAUACCAGCUGGCUGCAACUGUUUAUUAAAAACACAGCACUGUGCAAACACGAAAGUGGACGUAUACGGUGUGACGCCUGCCCGGUGCCGGAAGGUUAAUUGAUGGGGUUAGCGGUAACGCGAAGCUCUUGAUCGAAGCCCCGGUAAACGGCGGCCGUAACUAUAACGGUCCUAAGGUAGCGAAAUUCCUUGUCGGGUAAGUUCCGACCUGCACGAAUGGCGUAAUGAUGGCCAGGCUGUCUCCACCCGAGACUCAGUGAAAUUGAACUCGCUGUGAAGAUGCAGUGUACCCGCGGCAAGACGGAAAGACCCCGUGAACCUUUACUAUAGCUUGACACUGAACAUUGAGCCUUGAUGUGUAGGAUAGGUGGGAGGCUUUGAAGUGUGGACGCCAGUCUGCAUGGAGCCGACCUUGAAAUACCACCCUUUAAUGUUUGAUGUUCUAACGUGGGCCCCUUACCGGGGUUGCGGACAGUGUCUGGUGGGUAGUUUGACUGGGGCGGUCUCCUCCUAAAGAGUAACGGAGGAGCACGAAGGUUGGCUAAUCCUGGUCGGACAUCAGGAGGUUAGUGCAAUGGCAUAAGCCAGCUUGACUGCGAGCGUGACGGCGCGAGCAGGUGCGAAAGCAGGUCAUAGUGAUCCGGUGGUUCUGAAUGGAAGGGCCAUCGCUCAACGGAUAAAAGGUACUCCGGGGAUAACAGGCUGAUACCGCCCAAGAGUUCAUAUCGACGGCGGUGUUUGGCACCUCGAUGUCGGCUCAUCACAUCCUGGGGCUGAAGUAGGUCCCAAGGGUAUGGCUGUUCGCCAUUUAAAGUGGUACGCGAGCUGGGUUUAGAACGUCGUGAGACAGUUCGGUCCCUAUCUGCCGUGGGCGCUGGAGAACUGAGGGGGGCUGCUCCUAGUACGAGAGGACCGGAGUGGACGCAUCACUGGUGUUCGGGUUGUCAUGCCAAUGGCACUGCCCGGUAGCUAAAUGCGGAAGAGAUAAGUGCUGAAAGCAUCUAAGCACGAAACUUGCCCCGAGAUGAGUUCUCCCUGACUCCUUGAGAGUCCUGAAGGAACGUUGAAGACGACGACGUUGAUAGGCCGGGUGUGUAAGCGCAGCGAUGCGUUGAGCUAACCGGUACUAAUGAACCGUGAGGCUUAACCUU